AAGUCGUAACAAGGUUUCCGUAGGUGAACCUGCGGAAGGAUCAUUAAUGAAAUGUAAGGAUGCUCUUUUUAGAGAUCCGACCAAAUCAUUUUCCUUUCUACACUGUGCACACACUACACUUUUUUACACCUUUUUUUAACACGUCAGUUUAAGAAUGUAUGUCAGUCUCUUUAUUGAGCAUAAAUAAAUUAAAACUUUCAGCAACGGAUCUCUUGGCUCUC
Molecule: unclassified non-coding RNA, 221 nt
Filed under: air metagenome
Description: partial contains small subunit ribosomal RNA, internal transcribed spacer 1, and 5.8S ribosomal RNA
Rfam family: Eukaryotic small subunit ribosomal RNA (bases 1-46)
Source: RNAcentral